This 593-nucleotide long non-coding RNA is filed under the name Gouania willdenowi (blunt-snouted clingfish). Its description in RNAcentral is "lncRNA (ENSGWIG00000013795.1)". The record is from RNAcentral. Lineage: Eukaryota; Metazoa; Chordata; Actinopteri; Blenniiformes; Gobiesocidae.
UGUUCACCAGUCAGGAAGUGCCAGUUUCCCGUGGAUUGUCAGUGUGUUAAACACACACCGGAUGUGUUGAGGUCAGAAGUACUGCGGCCUUAAACCUGCAGCCCUCGUUGAGGGAAAAGACGCUGUUACUGUGAGGACCAGUUAAAAGUGGGAACUAAGCGUGUGGAGUCAACGUCACAGUUAAAACCACUGCCUGCUGUCCUUGUUUUUGGUAGUUUUAUUUGUGUCUGUCUUACGUCAUACAGCUGCUGGACUUGGGCCACGCGUGAUGACGUUUCACGAGUCCACAAAUCCGCACAAGUCUACAGAUUGAGGAACGUAAUGUACGUCAUCAGUGUCCAUCCAAUAAAUGCAGGAACUGCCGUGAAUCGGCCCCGCCCCCAAACAGAAACCGCCAUCAUAAAACACAAAGAUCUGGUUUAAAGGAGCUCCGCGCGGUUAGCAGGUAAAAACACACACCUGUUCACACCUGACCCGGACUACUGACCCGGAAUAACCCGGAUUAACGUGGUUUAAUCCUUUUAGAUCGAGUCCGGGCUUUUCCGCCUUUUUCCUCUUCAUUUUUCCCGCUGAACGCCUCUGACGUCACAUAC